This 1095-nucleotide long non-coding RNA is filed under the name Anas platyrhynchos platyrhynchos (common mallard). RNAcentral's name for it is "lncRNA (ENSAPLG00000025531.1)". The record is from RNAcentral. Lineage: Eukaryota; Metazoa; Chordata; Aves; Anseriformes; Anatidae.
AUGGGGCUGCAGGGGGCAAGGUUAUGGGGCUGGGGGCUAGGGCUGCUGGGGGCAAGGGAUAUGGGGCUGCAGGGGGCAAAGGGAUGGGGCUGCAGGGAAAUAGGAUAUGGGGCUGCAGGGGGCAAAGUUGUAGGGCUGCAGUCCCCGUCCCCCCCCCCUGCGCCCUCCCCCGUGCCGCGGGCCCGAUGCUGUCAUGGAAAAUCCCCGCAGCGGCCAAGGGCCGUGUUUGCGCUGACCCAAAACUGGCAAUUUUUCACUCAAUUCUGGGGCUCCGCCAGGCCUGUUCCCGGUUUCCAACACCCCCCCCCCAAAAAAAGUUCUCCCAUUCUCCCUGCCAUGGGGCUGGGUGCUGGUGGCCCCCCAGAGGGAAGGGGUCUCAGGGGGGGGGAUAAAAACCGUGCUCUAGAACCUGGCACCGUGCACAAGUACCCAGAUUGUGCACCGGCACCCAGCUCUUUGCACGAGUGCACAGCACCUUGCACAAGCACCCAGCACCGUGCACCAGUGCCUAGCACCAUGCACCAGCACCCAGCACCUUGCACAAGCACCCAGCACCAUGCACAAGCACCCAGCACCGUGCACCAGCACCCAGCACCAUGCACCAGUGCCCAGCACCUUGCACAAGCACCCAGCACUGUGCACAAGCACCCAGCACCUUGCACAAGCACCCAGCACCAUGCACCAAUGCAUAGCACCAUGCAUUUGCACCCAGCACCGUGCACAAACAUCGUGCACCAGCACCCAGCACCCUGCACAAUCAUCCAGUACCAUGCACUAGCACCGUGCACAAGCACCCAGCACCAUGCACAAGCCUGCAGCACGGUGCACCAGCACCAUGCAGAAGCACCAGCACCAUGCAGCAGCACCCAGCAGCGUGCACUGAUGCCCAAAUUGUGCACCAGCACCAUGCAACAGUGCCCGGCACCGUGCACAAGCACCCAGCACUGUGCACCAGUGCCUAGCACCAUGCACCAGCACCGUGCACAAGCACCCAGUGCUCUGCACAAGCAUCCAGCACCAUGCACCAGUGCCCAGCACUGUGCACAAACACCCAGCACUGUGCAGCAGGGCAUAGCAUCAUGCACCUGCACCUAG